RNAcentral lists this long non-coding RNA (463 nucleotides) under Monodelphis domestica (gray short-tailed opossum). RNAcentral describes it as "lncRNA (ENSMODG00000037282.1)". The record is from RNAcentral. Lineage: Eukaryota; Metazoa; Chordata; Mammalia; Didelphimorphia; Didelphidae.
CUUUAAGGCCAGACAGAAUCUUGGGAAGGUUGCUGGUUGGAAUUCUGGGUUGCCUGAGUCAGUUGGUUUUCUAACUGCCAAGGAGUCCUGGACGUUUUUUUUCCUAGGUGGAGGUUGGCAUUUUGUUCCUUGGAACACUGAAAAAUCCCAGUGGUAGAUGAAGGAGAAGAACAGUGUUGGAAUGCAUAAUUUAUUGAUCGUUUUACAGAUGGAGACAUGGAUAUUUCAAUAUAUUGAAAGGUUAUAUCUGAUUGAAAAAAACACAGAAAACAAAAUUACCUUCUGAAGAUCAGAAGUGGAGACCAGGAGAAGCUAGUUAAUGGGAGAAGGAAGCUGGAGAUUUGAGAGGAUGCUCUAGGUUGGAGGUUCCAGACACAAUUUAAAGAUUCAGGGUGAAAUCACAAUGUAGAUAGUUAGCAGAAUUCAGAAAGCCAAAAAUCUAUUAAACUUUGAUAGUUCAAAU